Molecule: long non-coding RNA, 631 nt
Filed under: Homo sapiens (human)
Lineage: Eukaryota; Metazoa; Chordata; Mammalia; Primates; Hominidae
Description: long non-coding RNA NONHSAT207590.1
Source: RNAcentral
CUGAUGGCUGCAGUCUAUACCAUAGCUUUAAGAUACACAAGGACAUCAGACAAAGAACUCUACUUUUCAACCACAGCCGUGUGUAUCACAGAAGUUAUAAAGUUAUUGCUAAGUGUGGGAAUUUUAGCUAAAGAAACUGGUAGUCUGGGUAGAUUCAAAGCAUCUUUAAGAGAAAAUGUCUUGGGGAGCCCCAAGGAACUGUUGAAGUUAAGUGUGCCAUCGUUAGUGUAUGCUGUUCAGAACAACAUGGCUUUCCUAGCUCUUAGCAAUCUGGAUGCAGCAGUGUACCAGGUGACCUACCAGUUGAAGAUUCCGUGUACUGCUUUAUGCACUGUUUUAAUGUUAAACCGGACACUCAGCAAAUUACAGUGGGUUUCAGUUUUUAUGCUGUGUGCUGGAGUUACGCUUGUACAGUGGAAACCAGCCCAAGCUACAAAAGUGGUGGUGGAACAAAAUCCAUUAUUAGGGUUUGGCGCUAUAGCUAUUGCUGUAUUGUGCUCAGGAUUUGCAGGAGUAUAUUUUGAAAAAGUUUUAAAGAGUUCAGAUACUUCUCUUUGGGUGAGAAACAUUCAAAUGUAUCUAUCAGGGAUUAUUGUGACAUUAGCUGGCGUCUACUUGUCAGAUGGAGCUG